RNAcentral lists this ribosomal RNA (496 nucleotides) under uncultured Glomus. Its description in RNAcentral is "SSU rRNA". It matches the Rfam family "Eukaryotic small subunit ribosomal RNA", at positions 569 to 1070 of the family's 1831-position model. The record is from RNAcentral. Lineage: Eukaryota; Fungi; Glomeromycota; Glomeromycetes; Glomerales; Glomeraceae.
AGCAGCCGCGGUAAUUCCAGCUCCAAUAGCGUAUAUUAAAGUUGUUGCAGUUAAAAAGCUCGUAGUUGAAUUUCGGGAUCAAUAUGUUGGUCGUGCCUUGGUACGUACUGGCAUUAUUGGUUUCUACCUUCUGAAGAACCUCGAUGUCAUUAAUUUGGUGUCUUGGGGAAUCAGGACUGUUACUUUGAAAAAUUAGAGUGUUUAAGGCAGGCUCGCGCUUGAAUACAUUAGCAUGGAAUAAUGAAAUAGGACGUUUGAUUCUAUUUUGUUGGUUUCUAGGAUCGACGUAAUGAUUAAUAGGGAUAGUUGGGGCAUUAGUAUUCAAUUGUCAGAGGUGAAAUUCUUGGAUUUAUUGAAGACUAACUACUGCGAAAGCAUUUGCCAAGGAUGUUUUCAUUAAUACAAGAACGAAAGUUAGGGGAUCGAAGACGAUCAGAUACCGUCGUAGUCUUAACCAUAAACUAUAGCCGACUAGGGAUCGGAUGAUGUUAAUUUU